GCUGGGUGUGGUACUGUACACCUGUAGUCCCAGCUACUCAGGAGGCUGAGGUGGGAGAAUCACUUGAGCCCAGGAGGUCGAGGCUGCAGUGAGCUAUGAUCAUACUUGUGAAUGGCCUAUGCACUCUCUCCUGGGCAAUGUAGUGAGAGCUCAUCUCUU
Papio anubis (olive baboon) is the source of this 159-nucleotide unclassified non-coding RNA. It matches the Rfam family "Metazoan signal recognition particle RNA". Rfam says of the family: The signal recognition particle (SRP) is a universally conserved ribonucleoprotein. It is involved in the co-translational targeting of proteins to membranes. NCBI's taxonomy places the organism in Eukaryota, Metazoa, Chordata, Mammalia, Primates, Cercopithecidae. The record is from Ensembl.